Erigeron canadensis is the source of this 552-nucleotide long non-coding RNA. RefSeq lists it as uncharacterized. The transcript has 3 exons. Lineage: Eukaryota; Viridiplantae; Streptophyta; Magnoliopsida; Asterales; Asteraceae. The record is from RefSeq and is a predicted model, not a curated record.
AAUCAAAACGUUCGAGAUGGUCUUUGUUGAUGAAUUGGGCACAUUCAUACAUGGCUCGGCCAAUGGUGAAUGGACGGAAAAUUUUAAGAGUAUUUUGACCGAUGAAGUGACUAUUCAACUAACAAAUUUCAAGUUGAUUUCGUAUUGGCUUAUCGGACAUCCAUCUAAAGUGGUCCAUAAAGAAGAUAAUACAAGAAAAAGAAGAUAAUACAAGAACGAGGAAGGUGAUGACUUUCAGGAUUAAUUUGCUUGUUACAGUAGUUAUUAGUAAAAUCACUAGCUGGGUGAACGGAGAUGUGCACACAAUUGAGACAGAGUUAACAACGGUGGAUGAGGCAGCACUGCAGCAGGUAGUACUAUACAACCUUGCAACUGCUCGAUAGUGUAGAAGCUGGUGACGCUAGUUCGGUGGGUAAAGAGGAGAAGAAGAAGGAGCUAGACGCGACGAGAAGCUGACCUCAAAUGAGAUAAAUUAUGCCAAUCUAUAAGUAUCUACACUUGUCUUCUGAUGUAUCUUGUUUUGCCUUGAUUAAUUUCCUUAAUUAUGUUCUA